RNAcentral lists this ribosomal RNA (442 nucleotides) under uncultured bacterium. RNAcentral's name for it is "partial 16S ribosomal RNA". It matches the Rfam family "Bacterial small subunit ribosomal RNA", at positions 338 to 795 of the family's 1533-position model. The record is from RNAcentral.
CCUACGGGAGGCAGCAGUGGGGAAUAUUGGGCAAUGGGCGCAAGCCUGACCCAGCAACGCCGCGUGAAGGAAGAAGGCUUUCGGGUUGUAAACCUCUUUUCUGGGGGACGAACAAAUGACGAUACCCCAGGAAUAAGCCACGGCUAACUACGUGCCAGCAGCCGCGGUAAUACGUAGGGGGCAAGCGUUAUCCGGAUUUAUUGGGUGUAAAGGGCGUGUAGGCGGGAAUGCAAGUCAGUGGUGAAAACUCAGGGCUCAACCCUGAGCCUGCAUUUGAAACUGUGUUUCUUGAGUGCUGGAGAGGCAAGCGGAAUUCCUUGUGUAGCGGUGAAAUGCGUAGAUAUACGGAGGAACACCAGUGGCGAAGGCGGAUUGCUGGACAGUAACUGACGCUGAGGCGCGAAAGCGUGGGGAGCAAACAGGAUUAGAUACCCGUGUAGUC